UACGUAGGUGGCGAGCGUUGUCCGGAAUUAUUGGGCGUAAAGGGCGCGUAGGCGGGAAUAUAAGUCUGUCUUAAAAGUGCGGGGCUCAACCCCGUGAUGGGACAGAAACUAUAUUUCUUGAGUGCAGGAGAGGAAAGUGGAAUUCCCAGUGUAGCGGUGAAAUGCGUAGAUAUUGGGAGGAACACCAGUGGCGAAGGCGACUUUCUGGACUGUGUCUGACGCUGAGGCGCGAAAGCCAGGGGAGUGAACGGG
RNAcentral lists this ribosomal RNA (252 nucleotides) under uncultured bacterium. RNAcentral describes it as "partial 16S ribosomal RNA". It matches the Rfam family "Bacterial small subunit ribosomal RNA", at positions 524 to 776 of the family's 1533-position model. The record is from RNAcentral.